UUGACUUAGUGGUUAAGUACUUGGCUGCUAACUGAAAGAUUGGUGGUUCAAACCCACCA
Molecule: transfer RNA, 59 nt
Filed under: Loxodonta africana (African savanna elephant)
Lineage: Eukaryota; Metazoa; Chordata; Mammalia; Proboscidea; Elephantidae
Rfam family: tRNA
About the family: Transfer RNA (tRNA) molecules are approximately 80 nucleotides in length.
Source: Rfam by way of RNAcentral